This is a long non-coding RNA of Triticum aestivum (bread wheat), 848 nucleotides long. RefSeq lists it as uncharacterized. NCBI's taxonomy places the organism in Eukaryota, Viridiplantae, Streptophyta, Magnoliopsida, Poales, Poaceae. The transcript has 4 exons. The record is from RefSeq and is a predicted model, not a curated record.
AAGCUGGGGCAAAAAAAAAUACACCACAAACAUAGUGGACACAAGGUUAGACGUGACAUAAAUGUGUCCUAGACAGACCCUUCUUUUCUUAGUGAAACAUCAACUUUCCAAAGACAAUAUUCCAAACUGGACAGUUGAUACAUAGAGCUAUUUUACUUUAACAUUUAAAGUGUGGCUGCAAAUCUGGGAUGCAGGAGGUGAAAAUUCAUUGUCUAAUCUGUUUCUCAGUUUCCUCUUUCAGAAACGAGAGAUUUUUCAAGACCUUGCUCCACUGCUGUGGCACUCCUUUGGCACUGUUGCUGCACUGCUCCAGGAGAUUGUGUCAAUUUACCCUUCACUUUCACCUCCUACUUUGUCGCUAGUUGCAUCAAACCGUGUCUGCAAUGCACUUGCACUUCUUCAGUGUGUUGCUUCACACCCUGAGACCAGGAUCCCGUUCUUGAAUGCUCACAUCCCACUGUACCUGUACCCGUUCCUGAAUACUACCAGCAAGACAAGACCUUUUGCGUACUUGAGGCUUACCAGCUUGGGUGUUAUUGGUGCUCUUGUGAAGGUAAAUUAAAACUAGAUACUUAUGCAAACUAGGAAUGGAUGGUCCAUAUAGAUUUUUGCUUUAAAUGGUGAGAGGGUUGAACCAGAGGGGAAAACAGUGAUGGGGAUUGGCUGUAUUCUUUCUUUUUUUUGUAGACUAUAUCUUGUUCUUUUGGUAUUCUCAUUCCAGUAAUCCAGUCAUUUUAAUCAAAUGGACUGGUUGGGAUUGGAUCCCAGGAAUCUCAACAGGAACUGUUAUUUUUGAAGCAAACAGGCUAAUGAUUUGUUAGAAAUUAUAUUGUUUCUUCUUUUGGAUA